GUCGAACGCUGGCGGCGUGCUUAACACAUGCAAGUCGAACGGUAAGGCCCCUUCGGGGGUACACGAGUGGCGAACGGGUGAGUAACACGUGAGCAACCUGCCCUUGACUCUGGGAUAACAGUUGGAAACAGCUGCUAAUACCGGAUACGACCUUCGAUGACAUCAUCUGGAGGUGGAAAGCGCUUUAGCGGUCAAGGAUGGGCUCGCGGCCUAUCAGCUUGUUGGUGAGGUAACGGCUCACCAAGGCCUCGACGGGUAGCCGGCCUGGGAGGGCGACCGGCCACACUGGGACUGAGAUACGGCCCAGACUCCUACGGGAGGCAGCAGUGGGGAAUAUUGCACAAUGGGCGCAAGCCUGAUGCAGCAACGCCGCGUGCGGGAUGACGGCCUUCGGGUUGUAAACCGCUUUCAGUUCCGACGAAGCGCAAGUGACGGUAGGAACAGAAGAAGGACCGGCCAACUACGUGCCAGCCGCCGCCGUAA
Molecule: ribosomal RNA, 483 nt
Filed under: uncultured bacterium
Lineage: Bacteria
Description: partial 16S ribosomal RNA
Rfam family: Bacterial small subunit ribosomal RNA
Source: RNAcentral